UACGAAGGGGGCUAGCGUUGCUCGGAAUCGCUGGGCGUAAAGGGUGCGUAGGCGGGUCUUUAAGUCAGGGGUGAAAUCCUGGAGCUCAACUCCAGAACUGCCUUUGAUACUGGGGAUCUCGAGUCCGGGAGAGGUGAGUGGAACUCCGAGUGUAGAGGUGAAAUUCGUAGAUAUUCGGAAGAACACCAGUGGCGAAGGCGGCUCACUGGCCCGGUACUGACGCUGAGGUGCGAAAGCGUGGGGAGCAAACAGG
RNAcentral lists this ribosomal RNA (253 nucleotides) under uncultured bacterium. Its description in RNAcentral is "partial 16S ribosomal RNA". It matches the Rfam family "Bacterial small subunit ribosomal RNA", at positions 524 to 776 of the family's 1533-position model. The record is from RNAcentral.